Molecule: long non-coding RNA, 390 nt
Organism: Melospiza melodia melodia
Lineage: Eukaryota; Metazoa; Chordata; Aves; Passeriformes; Passerellidae
Exons: 3
Source: RefSeq, a predicted model, not a curated record
GAGCAGCGCGGGGUUUGCUCGGUUGUGUGAGGGCCGGGGGAGCCGGAGCGAUGGCGGCGGCGUCCGGAGAGGAGUCAUUCCCCUGCUGCACCAUGGGGUCCCUCCUGGAGACACUUCUCCAUGAACUUCUCCAAGGUGUUACCACCAUUUCUAACGGGCCCAGCCUUGGCCAGCAGCUGGUCUGUCCUGGAGCUGCCUCGAAUUUCCUCUGUGGGACAUGGAGGAGCAGCUGCUUGCAUCAUCCUCUCACAGAAGGUGCUCCUAGAGCCCCCUCUUACCAAAACCUGGCCAUGCAAUCCUAGUAUAAGUAUGGUCGGGUUUUAUUACCAUUAUUCAUUCUUAUUAUUGCUAUUUUGGCUACUUUUGCUCUUAAUAUUACAGUUACUACUU